This 292-nucleotide ribosomal RNA is filed under the name uncultured Alphaproteobacteria bacterium. RNAcentral describes it as "partial 16S ribosomal RNA". Lineage: Bacteria; Pseudomonadati; Pseudomonadota; Alphaproteobacteria. The record is from RNAcentral.
GGACUACCAGGGUAUCUAAUCCUGUUUGCUCCCCACGCUUUCGCGCCUCAGCGUCAGUCAUGGACCAGGUUGCCGCCUUCGCCACCGGUGUUCUUCCCAAUAUCUACGAAUUUCACCUCUACACUGGGAAUUCCACAACCCUCUUCCACACUCAAGUCUGGAUGUAUUAAGCGCAGUCCCCAGGUUGAGCCCAGGAAUUUCACGCCUAACUGUCCAAACCGCCUACGCGCCCUUUACGCCCAGUCAUUCCGAGCAACGCUAGCCCCCUUCGUAUUACCGCGGCUGCUGGCAC